GUAGGGGGCGAGCGUUGUCCGGAAUGACUGGGCGUAAAGGGUGCGUAGGCGGCAUAAUAAGUUAGAAGUGAAAUACACAGAGCUUAACUCGGGUGCUGCUUCUAAGACUGUUGAGCUUGAGUGCGGGAGAGGUUAAUGGAAUUCCUAGUGUAGCGGUGGAAUGCGUAGAUAUUAGGAGGAACACCAGAGGCGAAGGCGAUUAACUGGACCGUAACUGACGCUGAGGCACGAAAGUGUGGGUAGCAAA
Molecule: ribosomal RNA, 247 nt
Filed under: uncultured bacterium
Lineage: Bacteria
Description: partial 16S ribosomal RNA
Rfam family: Bacterial small subunit ribosomal RNA
Source: RNAcentral